UACGUAGGGUGCAAGCGUUAAUCGGAAUUACUGGGCGUAAAGCGUGCGCAGGCGGUUAUAUAAGACAGAUGUGAAAUCCCCGGGCUCAACCUGGGAACUGCAUUUGUGACUGUAUAGCUAGAGUACGGCAGAGGGGGAUGGAAUUCCGCGUGUAGCAGUGAAAUGCGUAGAUAUGCGGAGGAACACCAAUGGCGAAGGCAAUCCCCUGGGCCUGUACUGACGCUCAUGCACGAAAGCGUGGGGAGCAAACAGG
RNAcentral lists this ribosomal RNA (253 nucleotides) under uncultured bacterium. RNAcentral's name for it is "partial 16S ribosomal RNA". It matches the Rfam family "Bacterial small subunit ribosomal RNA", at positions 524 to 776 of the family's 1533-position model. The record is from RNAcentral.